AACGACCUUUCAUCUGGAGGACACAGACAUUUAAGGCUGGAUAUUUUCUUGACAGGAACAUUUAUGACUCCUACUCUUUAAGUUUUUAGUUUUACCCUUUCUGAGCUGAGGUAAAGUUGUUUGUGUUGUGAAAUUGUUUCACUUUCAACUUGUUGGCAUCGAGUGCUUGUAUCAAACUUUAGUUGCGUCAUUGUGGUGUUUCACAGAGUGGGAUUACUGACAAUUUUUGGAGGAUGAGGUGUGUGUGGGCUGCACUCUGUGGGAUUGUACUGCUAACACAGGUUAUUAUAACCAAUUCACAAACCUCAGAUUCACCCAGUGGUGACUGCUCUCAGUUUGACUCGUGCAAUGGCUGCAUCAGCGGAGACCCGGCCCUCAACCUGACACGAUGUGUGUGGCAAAGUUGUAAUGACGGAAAUGACACAAGAUGCAUGUCUGACACCGAAGACUUUGGAGGCUGCUCUGUCUACAAUGAGACCAGCAUGUGCCAAG
Carassius gibelio (silver crucian carp) is the source of this 492-nucleotide long non-coding RNA. RefSeq lists it as uncharacterized. The transcript has 4 exons. The record is from RefSeq and is a predicted model, not a curated record. NCBI's taxonomy places the organism in Eukaryota, Metazoa, Chordata, Actinopteri, Cypriniformes, Cyprinidae.